UACGUAGGGUGCGAGCGUUGUCCGGAAUUACUGGGCGUAAAGAGCUUGUAGGUGGUUUGUCGCGUUGUUCGUGAAAUCUCACGGCUCAACUGUGAGCGUGCGGGCGAUACGGGCAGACUAGAGUACUGCAGGGGAGACUGGAAUUCCUGGUGUAGCGGUGAAAUGCGCAGAUAUCAGGAGGAACACCAGUGGCGAAGGCGGCUCACUGGCCCGGAACUGACGCUGAGACGCGAAAGCGUGGGGAGCAAACAGG
This 253-nucleotide ribosomal RNA is filed under the name uncultured bacterium. RNAcentral's name for it is "partial 16S ribosomal RNA". It matches the Rfam family "Bacterial small subunit ribosomal RNA", at positions 524 to 776 of the family's 1533-position model. The record is from RNAcentral.